Molecule: long non-coding RNA, 798 nt
Filed under: Coffea arabica (coffee)
Lineage: Eukaryota; Viridiplantae; Streptophyta; Magnoliopsida; Gentianales; Rubiaceae
Description: long non-coding RNA (CARA_LNC004350)
Source: RNAcentral
AGAAAAGAAGAGCUUCUUUUAGCUGUUUUUUUUCCUCAUUUUUGAAAGAAUCAGGAAAAGUUUUGUAUCGACUAUUACAGUAUUACAGAUGGCUUCUAUUGGUAGCUUCGUGCCAAAGAACUUGCUUAAAGUUCUCAGCUCCGAUCCUCAUAGGAUUCCAAGUAUUGUUAUGUAAGUUCGAUCUUAUUAUUUCUGCUCGUUGUUCUUAACAUCUUAACUUAUGCUAUUUUCUCCAUGCUAUAAGUUUUCAGUUGUGCAUUAAAUGAGAAGAAGAAAACCUCCAGUUUAUUCGUACAGAAGAUGAUCCAAAGAAUAAAAAUCGCCAUUUUGCAUAUAUCCAAUGAUGGAUUGUGUUGCAUUCUUGAAUAUUUCCACUGAUUUUCAAACUAAUUUAAUUUGCGUCUGCUCUGCGGUCUUACUUUUUUUCAGAAGAUGUGCUUCUAUAUCACGAGAAGGACCAAGCAGGCCCCCGAUUCAAACCAACCCUCCACAAAAUAAAGCGGCAACGGAUUCAACCGAUGAGAAAAUGGAUGCCAAUGCCGGAGGGCCAUAUUCACCAGUUGUAUACGAGGGCUAUUGAAGGCAGCAGAGUUGAUGAUCAAGGCCAUUCUUAUACAUUAGUCGCCCAUAAAAUCUAGAGUUGAAAUAGGAAUAGAAGAAGUUAAAAGAUGAUGAUCCAUGCAUUGACUAGUGAAUAGAAUUCUUUGUGGCUUUUGUUAGUCUCUGAAAUAAAGGUUUAUCUUCCCCUGAACUCUUUCUUCUUCCCCACACACCUUUUGUAAUGCAGUCCAGGAUUCC